UACGUAGGGCGCAAGCGUUGUCCGGAAUUAUUGGGCGUAAAGAGCUCGUAGGCGGCCUGUUACGUCUGCUGUGAAAUCCCGGGGCUUAACCCCGGGCGUGCAGUGGAUACGGGCAGGCUGGAGGCAGGCAGGGGAGAACGGAAUUCCCGGUGUAGCGGUGAAAUGCGCAGAUAUCGGGAGGAACACCGGUGGCGAAGGCGGUUCUCUGGGCCUGUACUGACGCUGAGGAGCGAAAGCGCGGGGAGCAAACAGG
RNAcentral lists this ribosomal RNA (253 nucleotides) under uncultured bacterium. RNAcentral's name for it is "partial 16S ribosomal RNA". It matches the Rfam family "Bacterial small subunit ribosomal RNA", at positions 524 to 776 of the family's 1533-position model. The record is from RNAcentral.